AUACGUUUCUCGGUCUUUUGACUAAGAUAAAGUGUAAUAUUUGUUUUAUCAGUUUAAUAUAUGAUAUGUGGACCAUAUGUUCACUUUGAUAUUUAAUUUAUUUUUAUAGGUAUCAAUUGUGUGCCUUCGCACCACAC
This 137-nucleotide small nuclear RNA is filed under the name Zea mays. RNAcentral describes it as "U2 spliceosomal RNA". It matches the Rfam family "U2 spliceosomal RNA". Rfam says of the family: U2 is a small nuclear RNA (snRNA) component of the spliceosome (involved in pre-mRNA splicing). Complementary binding between U2 snRNA (in an area lying towards the 5' end but 3' to hairpin I) and the branchpoint sequence (BPS) of the intron results the bulging out of an unpaired adenosine, on the BPS, which initiates a nucleophilic attack at the intronic 5' splice site, thus starting the first of two transesterification reactions that mediate splicing. The record is from Rfam by way of RNAcentral. Lineage: Eukaryota; Viridiplantae; Streptophyta; Magnoliopsida; Poales; Poaceae.